CCUACGGGCGGCAGCAGUGGGGAAUAUUGGACAAUGGGCGAAAGCCUGAUCCAGCCAUGCCGCGUGUGUGAAGAAGGCCUUCGGGUUGUAAAGCACUUUCAGUGGGGAAGAAAGCCUUGGGGCUAAUACCCUCGAGGAAGGACAUCACCCACAGAAGAAGCACCGGCUAACUCCGUGCCAGCAGCCGCGGUAAUACGGAGGGUGCGAGCGUUAAUCGGAAUUACUGGGCGUAAAGCGCGCGUAGGCGGUCUGAUAAGCCGGUUGUGAAAGCCCCGGGCUCAACCUGGGAACGGCAUCCGGAACUGUCAGGCUAGAGUGCAGGAGAGGAAGGUAGAAUUCCCGGUGUAGCGGUGAAAUGCGUAGAGAUCGGGAGGAAUACCGGUGGCGAAGGCGGCCUUCUGGACUGACACUGACGCUGAGGUGCGAAAGCGUGGGUAGCAAACAGGAUUAGAUACCCUGGUAGUC
RNAcentral lists this ribosomal RNA (465 nucleotides) under Vreelandella stevensii. RNAcentral's name for it is "partial 16S ribosomal RNA". It matches the Rfam family "Bacterial small subunit ribosomal RNA", at positions 338 to 795 of the family's 1533-position model. Lineage: Bacteria; Pseudomonadati; Pseudomonadota; Gammaproteobacteria; Oceanospirillales; Halomonadaceae. The record is from RNAcentral.